Notolabrus celidotus (New Zealand spotty) is the source of this 462-nucleotide long non-coding RNA. RefSeq lists it as uncharacterized. The transcript is spliced from 3 exons. Lineage: Eukaryota; Metazoa; Chordata; Actinopteri; Labriformes; Labridae. The record is from RefSeq and is a predicted model, not a curated record.
UGGAGACAGGCGUCUGUGUGCUGAAAUGGAUCCUUGUCCAUCAGAUCAGGUGACAUCCUCUCCUCCUCUGGCUCCUGUCACAUGAUCACUGCUGAUAUUUCUCUCUCUUUUUAUCUCCCUCGUUCUUCUCCCCUCAUGUUGUUCCACAGUAAUCUCUCUCCUCUAGUUUCUGUGAGAACCAAACACAUAAGAAGGUUCAUCCGCGGAGGCUUCAUGUGUCCGAGGCAUUCAGGCUGAGCUGAAGUAGCUGCAGCCGCUCAGAGGAACAUCCGGAAUAUUCUUCUCUAAGAGACUCAAGUGUGGAACAAUAAGAGGGAUCAGUCCUCAUCCUCAGGGGGGACGAAAAGAAAGAAAAAAUCCCACCAUCACAGAUUUCCCGGGCUCCAGAAACUUUGAUCAGAAAGGCUCUGAUUUGGUGUAACGAGCAGAGAAUAAACGUCAGGAGGAUCGUCUGCGUGUUGG